Long non-coding RNA from Sparus aurata (gilthead seabream), 1806 nucleotides. NCBI's taxonomy places the organism in Eukaryota, Metazoa, Chordata, Actinopteri, Spariformes, Sparidae. The record is from Ensembl.
GAACUUUUCAUCUUGAACUUCUUCUUUUUCUUCCUCGGCAAGCCCUCUUCGGAGAAAGUUCAGAUCUGAUUGUAGUAUUGAUUGUAUCUUCUGUCUUCUGGAGUCAGAAAUCCUCCUCACGGGUUCGUGUCGGUCAUGUGACACACUUCUGGUCAUGUGCCUUCAAACCAGGAAGUGGAUGUUCCUGCCUGCUUGCGCUCACCUGUUGAACUCCAGGCUCCGUCUGCAGACAUCAACUGAAGAUGUUUCGACCUUCACACAUCGGACCAAAAAGUUACGAGACAGGAGAGCCGAGCCGGAGGAGGAAGAGGAGCGUGAGAGCACAAGAACGGACGUCCAGACUUAUUCUGAAGGGACUUUUAAAGGAAACGGCUUCGACAUUGAAAAGAACAGAGGACGUGGUUUCGAUCGAGCAGACCGAGGCCUCUCACUGGUUGUUGGCAGGUGUCCAGCAGCCAAUCACAGGCCUCCGCCAAUUAGAGCCAAAGAGGCCUCCCCGUGAACACGACUGGACACCAGACUGGGACUGAACACAGCCUCCGAGAUCGACGGAGGUCAGUUUGAGGACAGACGAUCAAGGAUGGAGGCGAUUUACAGGACUACUACUGAAGAGGGGUUAGAGAGAGUCAGGGCAUCAACAAUCGGUGAAAACGGCACGUAGACACGAAAUAUUUUCACAUCUUUUCUUGGUGAAUUGAGGAUUUAUUCUAAUCAAACCAGAGUUGAUUGGGAAAAGACGAACCAAGAAUGUUUUGGCACAUUUUAUUCAGUUUAUUUUAAGUGUUAAAUGAAGCCUAAAUUCAGACGGUGUAUGGUUUUAUUGUUCUGUUGAGGUAGGGGAAUAGGUGUAAAGUAUCUCCUUUCUAAACAAUUUGUGAGUUUAUUUUCUUGACUUAUUGGACUAAGAAGUGAAGCUAAAGCUACUCGGACUAUCAUGCAUUACAUGGCGGUUUAACAAGGCGAGUCGGGGGCUAGCUGGUAAGCAAUUUCUGCAACAUAGACAUCUUUGACACAACGUCAAGACUCUGUUGAUAAUGUUUGUUCAUUACCUUUUAAUUUUAAACUAAAAUUCUGGCUGUAUUUUAAAAAUGACUCCUUUUAAAUGAUGAAAAAUGUUCUCUCGUCACAUCUAUUCAAGUUCCAGAAAUUGCUAAGAAAGCACAUAAAAAACUGUAGAAAAUACAAUAACAAUAUUUAACAUAAAUUUUAAGGUUAUGGCACGAAAACAAAGUCAUUCGCCUUCUUAACACACACACACUGACUGCUAAGGACCAUUUAUUUAAAAAGGGAGGAAAGAAUAAAUAAAUGUUUUCAGUAGCUGGAAAGAUAUCAACUCCUUAGCUGGAAGGCUACACACACACACACACACACACACACACACACACACACACACACACACUGAGUCUUGCUUCAGUACCAACACAAAUAACCGGGCAGAAAAAAAACAUCAUCUUGGUAAAAAUGUAGCGCAGACUGCCAAGGCCACGGUCCUCCCUUUUAUCACAAUAAAUCAUAGCAAGAAGUUGGAGUAGUGUGUGUCCGUGUGUGUGUGUGUGUGUGUGUGUGUGUGUGUGGGCGGCUGUGUAAGCGCUGCCUUUGUUUUCCAUCCCACUUAUAAAGGUCAGGGCCCUCGGGAGUCAUUAUAUCACCCCUGAUAUUAAUGCCUAUGAGCUGAGAUUAUGACUCUGUGUGUGUGUGUGUGUGUGUGUGUGUGUUACCCAUGUGUUUCUACUGAUAUAAUUUGUCUGAAAAGUAGAGUUCAUUACUGGAGUGUGUGUGUGUGUUUUUGUAUUUUUCCGAGUUCAU